AGCAGCCGCGGUAAUUCCAGCUCCAAUAGCGUAUAUUAAAGUUGUUGCAGUUAAAAAGCUCGUAGUUGAAUUUCGGGAUCAAUUUAUUGGUCGUGCUAUUGUACGUACUGGUAUUAUUGAUUCCUACCUUCUGACGAACCAUGAUGUCAUUAAUUUGGUGUCAUGGGGAAUCAGGACUGUUACUUUGAAAAAUUAGAGUGUUUAAAGCAGGCUCACGCUUGAAUACAUUAGCAUGGAAUAACGAAAUAGGACGUUUGAUUCUAUUUUGUUGGUUUCUAGGAUCGACGUAAUGAUUAAUAGGGAUAGUUGGGGGCAUUAGUAUUCAAUUGUCAGAGGUNAAAAUUCUUGGAUUUUAUUGAAGACUAACUACUGCGAAAGCAUUUGCCAAGGAU
RNAcentral lists this ribosomal RNA (392 nucleotides) under uncultured Glomus. Its description in RNAcentral is "SSU rRNA". It matches the Rfam family "Eukaryotic small subunit ribosomal RNA", at positions 569 to 965 of the family's 1831-position model. Lineage: Eukaryota; Fungi; Glomeromycota; Glomeromycetes; Glomerales; Glomeraceae. The record is from RNAcentral.